Small nucleolar RNA from Manis pentadactyla (Chinese pangolin), 91 nucleotides. RefSeq annotates it as small nucleolar SNORD12/SNORD106. The record is from RefSeq and is a predicted model, not a curated record. NCBI's taxonomy places the organism in Eukaryota, Metazoa, Chordata, Mammalia, Pholidota, Manidae. The transcript has a single exon.
ACUGGUGUAUAUGAUGACUGAACUUUUUUCCCCGACAGAUCGACCAUGUUGAUCUAACUUAACUAAGCCAGUUUCCGUCUGAUACACCUGU